UACGUAAGAGGCGAGCGUUGUCCGGAAUCACUGGGCGUAAAGCGCGUGUAGGCGGCUUGGCAAGUCGGAUGUGAAAUCCCCGGGCUCAACCCGGGAAUUGCGUCCGAAACUGCCUCGCUCGAGAGCAGGAGAGGAGAGUGGAAUUCCGGGUGUAGCGGUGAAAUGCGUAGAUAUCCGGAGGAACACCAGUGGCGAAGGCGGCUCUCUGGCCUGUUUCUGACGCUGAGACGCGAAAGCGUGGGGAG
Molecule: ribosomal RNA, 245 nt
Filed under: uncultured bacterium
Lineage: Bacteria
Description: partial 16S ribosomal RNA
Rfam family: Bacterial small subunit ribosomal RNA
Source: RNAcentral